UAACCUGCCCACUGAUAAAUUUUUUAAAGGGCCGCGGUAUCCUGACUGUGCAAAGGUAGCAUAAUCGUUAGUUUUUUAAUUGGAAUCUUGUAUGAAUGGUUUGACAAAAGAAAAUCUGUCUUUAUAAUUAUUUAUUGAAUUUAACUUUUAAGUGAAAAGGCUUAAAUAAAUUAAAAAGACGAUAAGACCCUAUAAAGCUUAAUAUUAAAUUUUUAUUUAAUUAAAUUUUGAAUUAUAAUAAAAAUUUGGUAAAUAAAUUUUAUUUUGUUGGGGUGAUAAUGGUAAAAUGAUUAUUAACUGUUAAUUUUUUUAGACAAAAAUAAGUGAAUAAGUGAUUUAUUAAUAAAGGAUCCUGUAUUAAAGAUUAAAAGUUUAAGUUACUUUAGGGAUAACAGCGUUAUUUUUUUUGAGAGUUCUUAUCGAGAAAAAAGUUUGCGACCUCGAUGUUGAAUUAAAAUAUCUAUAUAAUUGUAGCAGUUAUAUAAGAAGGUCUGUUCGACCUUUAAAAUUUUACAUGAUUUGAGUUCAGACCGGCGUAAGCCAGGUCGGUUUCUAUCUUUUAAUAUUUAAAAAUUAUUUUAGUACGAAAGGAUUGAAUAAUUAAAAUUAUUUUUAAUAAUUGGAUGAG
RNAcentral lists this ribosomal RNA (628 nucleotides) under Orisarma sinense. RNAcentral's name for it is "Sesarmops sinensis partial large subunit ribosomal RNA". It matches the Rfam family "Bacterial large subunit ribosomal RNA", at positions 1854 to 2768 of the family's 2925-position model. Lineage: Eukaryota; Metazoa; Arthropoda; Malacostraca; Decapoda; Sesarmidae. The record is from RNAcentral.